UCUCUCUUUCUCUCUCCCCCCCCGGAGGCUUGUUUCCCCCAUUGGUUGCAGGCAACGGACAGGCUGGGUUAAUGCACAUGCCCACCUCAGCAACAAUUAGCAGACAUAUUUCAGUUUGUCCUUCAUAACAUGAAAUAUAUUAGGAGGUGAGUGAUUUAGAAUAUUGCAGCUCCACGUUGCCAUAAAGCUGGUGGUGAAAUAACAUCUGAUGAACUUGAAUGGACACAUUCCCUGGAGCUGCUUUGAUAUACAGACUCAUUUAUGUGUAUUUGAGCGUUCCCCUACUUAAAUGCAGUCAUUUAAAAGUUAAUUUUUUGUAACUGAUUGAUUCGGCACAGAGCUAAAUAAAGAUGUUACUGAAAUCAAAAUGGUAGAAUCCAAACAAGGGGUUGGGUCUUUGGCGCCCUUGGCCUGAAGGAUGCCAUAUUUCCAUUUGUUUUUGAGCUCUGCCUAGCUGACUGUACGUUUGGUCAGUCACUCUCCAUCGGCGCCGUGUUCUGGACUCUGCUGUUUUUUGCCCCCAGUGUGUUUCCCUGGUGAAGAGCGAGACAGCAGACCUGUGUAUUACUGAAACAAAGGAAGAUGCAAAAGGACAGGAUUGUUAGUGCUGUUCCAUGAAUGGUCGGCUGCCAGGACUGUAUGAGCACUGAUAUUUUUAGCAUCUUUCUCUUCUGCAAAGACAUUGAGUGAGGUUGCUGGUCUGAUAUGUUCUGUUUAUAAGGAGAGUUCUAGUGUGUCUUAUUAAGAGAACUUCAGACGUAGCCGGAAGACCAUACCAAAACAACAAGGGUAAAUAGUCCAGUUUCCUCUGAACACCACCUGCAUGCCAAAAUGAGGAGAGAACAUUGUAACAUUGUCCACUCCUAUUGGUAUGGCACCAGAAUGGGGACCGAAGUGUUCUUUGUGAGGUAACUGGUAACAAUGUGUCUGUAAUAUUAGGAUGAACGACGACACCCGAUGUUUUUCGUAGCUUUGCCGUGUGAUUUAGUACACAGAAAUAAAGCUUUAAUUGGCUAAUCAGAGAGGCCAGGCUUUCUCUCCAACUGCUCUCGAUCUCAUCUGAGGAAUCUCUUCGGACCUCUGCUUUGGCACUCUCCUCACGAGAAUGAAUGAAUAAAUGAAUAGCUGAUCCACAAGUGGCAAGAUUACAAGGUGGAGCUGCAGUGUGGUCUGCAAGUCUCUGCAAGUGCUUUGGGCUGCCUCUCAAGUGAAGGGGGGAAAAUGCACUUUCUGGUAAAUAAUUCAGCUGAUGUUCAGCUUUUCCUGCCUGCUUGCCAUCAAAGGUCAAGUAGAUGGACAGCAAAAUGUUUUUGCAUACAAUCAGAAAGCAAAACAUCUGUUGGACUAUUUCCUAUUGUGAUUUAUUAUUAUCCUCUCGCCUAAGCCAACCUAUGGUUUAUUUUUUCCACAUUUGGAUAGUAGUCCAUAUACCAAUCCAAAAUAUACAUUUGCAUCCCAUAGAAAAAGUUUUGUUUUUUUUUAUGUGCUUUUUGAUGUCUGACACCUGAUUCUUCAGUCAUGUUAUUUAAGGCCAGUGAUGUGUAUAAUCUAUCUUUGAAUCAUCAACAAAAUAUUAUCGUAGUUCACCUGAAAAUAUGAUUCCUUAUCUCCCCGCCCCCCCACUCUGUUACACUAGUCAAAGUACAUUGGAGUGGAAUUGUGGGUAUGACAGAUUUAAUACAUUUAUUUGGCCCUUUUCCUCCUACAGUUUUGUUUUCAUAGCUUUUAUGGGGGUGAAUUAGAAAAAGAUAUAUUGAAUGUCAUGUCAGGACUUUCCAUAUUUUUUUAUUUUUUGAAAUGCGUUUCUAUUAAGGAAACGUGCCAUGCUAUUUCAGUGGGGAAGAGCUGUCUGAGCACCCAUAGGCUGAACAGACAUCACAGGGUGCCGUCCUGCCACUAACAUUCGUCCAUGUGGUCUUCAGAUGAAUGGUACAAUUGAGGGCCCUGUUUUAAAGUGACCUCAGAUUGUGGAUCAUUUUUUGCAGUCCAAAGUCUUUUUUAAUUAUUGUUGUUGCUAUUGUUGCUGUUGUUGCUAAUGUUGAUGAUGUUGUUGUUAUUAUUAUUAUUAUUAUUGUUGUUAUUAUUAUUCCAGGUCUAUAAUUGCAGGGCAUGUCCUCUGCUUUCUAAAGGGGCUAUGCAGAUUCUGCAAACAAUACUAAAGAAUAAGGAGAAAUGGGGCCUUGUUGGGGGGCUGCAUUUCUCUUGUCCAAGUUUCAGAAUGUGCAAAGUAUGUUAAAAAAUUUCUUAAGUGUACAAAAGGGAAGAAAAGUGCUUGUACUGCAAGGUCUCUCUAAUUCAUGAUUUAUGUAGAUGUAUUGCUCCAAAAAAAUAAAAUAUAGAAAAAGGAUUGUUUUUAUUUAAA
Molecule: non-coding RNA, 2362 nt
Organism: Paramormyrops kingsleyae
Lineage: Eukaryota; Metazoa; Chordata; Actinopteri; Osteoglossiformes; Mormyridae
Source: RefSeq, a predicted model, not a curated record